Non-coding RNA from Peromyscus maniculatus bairdii (prairie deer mouse), 891 nucleotides. Lineage: Eukaryota; Metazoa; Chordata; Mammalia; Rodentia; Cricetidae. The record is from RefSeq and is a predicted model, not a curated record.
UAGAAUCUAGAGGCUCAGGAGGUCCCCCUACAUGGGUUCUGGCACCACGCGAGGGAGGUUAAGGAGGACAGUGGUGGAACCCUCCUGUCCCAGAGGCUCCAGAGACCCUCCAGGGAGGCUUGAAAGACAGAUUUCAACAAUCCAAAGACAGCUUCGCACCUAUGUAACAAACCAAGAAAGGACAGGAGACAUCAGCAAAUGGAAUCAUGGAGUCUGGGAAGAAGAAGAACAUCUAGGAGACAGCUAUGGAAGCCUUAAUUCUGCAGAUGGAUCUAACGACUUCAAGGAACUCUGGACAAAACUUAAGAGUAUCGUGAUAAGGAAGUACAAGAAAAAAGCCAUUUAUUCUGAGAAUCUAAAAUCUGGUCAAAAAAAAUUAAUGAACUUCAGAGAACACCCACAUGGAAUUUGUUUUCCCCCGUAAUAUACUGAUAAUCUAACAAGAAAAACAAAAGAAAACAUGGCCCCUUAAAACAGUGCUGUCCAGUCUGCCUGUGGUUAUGUGGUUGAAAGUUUCCAUGUUUACUGAGAGAUUCUUCAUCCGCCAUUGAUGCUAUCCUCCAUGCGAUACUAGCCAUUUACGGGAACAGUUUCUAGUGGCUCUCCUCCUAUUGGAUGCUCUUGACAUUUAAGUAUCAAUAUGUGACAAACAUUACAGUUAUUGAUGUCACCUUAUGGAGAGAAGAAUGAAUAAAAGAUGAAUUUCAAAAGUUUAAAAUCAAAAGAAAAAAGAAAGCAUGCUGAACAAGCCACAGGGAGCAAUCCAGUACACAGCACUCCUCCAUGGCCUCUGCAUCAGCUCCUGCCUCCAGUUUCCAGCAAUGCUUGAUUCCCUGUCCUAACUUCUUCAGGGAUGGAUGCCAAUUUGGAAGUGUAAGCCAAAUAAGUCUC